AGCAGCCGCGGUAAUUCCAGCUCCAAUAGCGUAUAUUAAAGUUGUUGCAGUUAAAAAGCUCGUAGUUGAAUUUUGGGUCUGGCCGGGCGGUCCGCCCUCUGGGUGAGCACUGUUCCGACGCCGGGCCUAUCCUUCUGGUGAGUCGGCAUGUCCUUUAUUGGGUGUGUCGGGGAACCAGGACCAUUACCUUGAAAAAUUAGAGUGUUCAAAGCAGGCGUAUGCUCGAAUACAUUAGCAUGGAAUAAUGAAAUAGGACGCGUGGUGCUUAUUUUGUUGGUUUCUAGAACCGCCGUAAUGAUUAAUAGGGAUAGUUGGGGGCAUUAGUAUUCAAUUGUCAGAGGUGAAAUUCUUGGAUUUAUUGAAGACUAACUUCUGCGAAAGCAUUUGCCAAGGAUGUUUUCAUUAAUCAAGAACGAAAGUUAGGGGAUCGAAGACGAUCAGAUACCGUCGUAGUCUUAACCAUAAACUAUGCCGACUAGGAAUCGGGCGAUGUUAUUCUCAUGACUCGCCCGGCGCCUU
This 519-nucleotide unclassified non-coding RNA is filed under the name uncultured Ambispora. RNAcentral's name for it is "SSU rRNA". It matches the Rfam family "Eukaryotic small subunit ribosomal RNA", at positions 569 to 1089 of the family's 1831-position model. The record is from RNAcentral. Lineage: Eukaryota; Fungi; Glomeromycota; Glomeromycetes; Archaeosporales; Ambisporaceae.